RNAcentral lists this ribosomal RNA (482 nucleotides) under uncultured bacterium. RNAcentral's name for it is "partial 16S ribosomal RNA". It matches the Rfam family "Bacterial small subunit ribosomal RNA", at positions 30 to 507 of the family's 1533-position model. The record is from RNAcentral.
AUUGAACGCUGGCGGCAUGCCUUACACAUGCAAGUCGAACGGUAACAGGUCUUCGGAUGCUGACGAGUGGCGAACGGGUGAGUAAUACAUCGGAACGUGCCCGAUCGUGGGGGAUAACGGAGCGAAAGCUUUGCUAAUACCGCAUACGAUCUACGGAUGAAAGCAGGGGACCGCAAGGCCUUGCGCGGACGGAGCGGCCGAUGGCAGAUUAGGUAGUUGGUGGGAUAAAAGCUUACCAAGCCGACGAUCUGUAGCUGGUCUGAGAGGACGACCAGCCACACUGGGACUGAGACACGGCCCAGACUCCUACGGGAGGCAGCAGUGGGGAAUUUUGGACAAUGGGCGAAAGCCUGAUCCAGCCAUGCCGCGUGCAGGAUGAAGGCCUUCGGGUUGUAAACUGCUUUUGUACGGAACGAAAAGACUCUUUCUAAUAAAGAGGGUCCAUGACAGUACCGUAAGAAUAAGCACCGGCUAACUACGUG